RNAcentral lists this ribosomal RNA (459 nucleotides) under uncultured bacterium. Its description in RNAcentral is "partial 16S ribosomal RNA". It matches the Rfam family "Bacterial small subunit ribosomal RNA", at positions 338 to 795 of the family's 1533-position model. The record is from RNAcentral.
CCUACGGGUGGCAGCAGUGAGGAAUAUUGGUCAAUGGACGAGAGUCUGAACCAGCCAAGUAGCGUGAAGGAUGACUGCCCUAUGGGUUGUAAACUUCUUUUAUAUAGGAAUAAAACAAGGCAUGCGUGCCUUCUUGCAUGUACCUUAUGAAUAAGGAUCGGCUAACUCCGUGCCAGCAGCCGCGGUAAUACGGAGGAUCCGAGCGUUAUCCGGAUUUAUUGGGUUUAAGGGGAGCGUGGAGGGGUUGUUAAGUCAGUUGUGAAAGUUUGCGGCUCAACCGUAAAUUGCAGUUGAAAUUGGGAGUCUUGAGUACAGUAGAGGUAGGCGGAAUUCGUGGUGUAGCGGUGAAAUGCUUAGAUAUCACGAAGAACACCGAUUGCGAAGGCAGCUUACUGGACUGUAACUGACAUUGAUGCUCGAAAGUGUGGGUAUCAAACAGGAUUAGAUACCCUAGUAGUC